AACGCACAACAAUAAUAUACUUUAUUAACUUCAAAUAAGGCAUAACUUGGAGUAAGAUCCCUGACUCUACAUGAAUAGACAUCACACAAUGCCUUGACAAAGCUAAAUAUGAAUAAGAUUUAGUGCCUGACGCUAAUGAAUCAAAUAAGGAUAAACCUAGAACACCAGAUCUCCAAUAAUGAACAAAAAUCAUUCAAGCAUGUGCAAAGCCAUUGAUCUGAGAUGAAGGUCCAAGAACAUGCAUACUAACACCCUAUCACGUUUACUAAUAGCUAUACCUUGUUUAAUCAAAGUUGAUUUAGGCAAGGUAAUCACAAUAGAUUAGAAAACAAGUCAGAAUAACACUGUAAAAACAACAAAAUAAAGUAAUUUUUAUGCUUCAAUUCUUCAUUUCAUUUCAUUCUUCAAAUUCACUUCACAACCGAAGAGUUACAGAGUCGUGUACCUGAACGCAACAAGAGCAGAAUCAAAAACUCGAUUGGAGACUAAGAAGGAAUGAACAACAAUAAUAUAUCGACAACAGGGUAACAACAACAGUGUCAGCUUCAAAACCACAAUGGAACAGUAACAAAACAAUGGAAAUCCACCCAAAACUCUCAAGAAAAAACAAGUUUACUUCAUUUUUAACCCCCAAGCAAAUCAGAAAUGGGUUCAGAAGUUGAAAACCCCCAAAGAUUACAGAAGAUCAAUUCAAUGGAACAGUAAAUUUUGAAGUUCUCAGUCGUUCUUAGUUUUCUAAUUUUUCUCACUUCUUUUCAAAGUAUUGAACACUCCGUCCCAUUUCUCUGUAUUUUCCAGUCCUUAAAUAGGUAUUCAAUUAGUGCCAUUCCCACUAUCAAUUCAAUUUUUCUAUUUUUAAAUUAUCUACACUAGCUUAGUGCUUUUUAAUUAAUUCAGUAGUGUAUUUCCUAAACCCUACCAUUAUAGAAGCUUCCUAAAGUUUGGUAAACACUUUUUUGUUGAACAAUUAUCAAACAUUGCCCCCUUAAACUUCUGUCAAUUACUUUCAAGAAACUAGACGAAUAUGGGUCAAUCUUGACCCAAAACCUAUCAGGCCUUUGAAGUGGGAUCAAGAAUGGCCUGAAGGCCCAAACAAUCAAACUGAUCCAUGCCAAAUUUAGUGCUUUUAUCAAAAGCAGAAGAAAACAAACACUUAAAUGAUUCGAAAACUAGAAUUAUCUAUAUGACUGACUAAUAACAUACACAAAAAUGGAAUGAACUAGUCUAUUAAAUCGAACUGAAUUAACUAAACUGAUUAAAUUAUUAAACGAGAUAUGAUUUCCAAAUUUUAAACAAACUGACCACACAAACUUAUGAAACCAAGAACAAAUUCACCAAACAUUCUGAAAAACAAAACAACGAACAGAAGAUAGUUUAUACCAGAGGAUUGGUCGAGUUUCAAUUGAAAUCGACCAGAGAAAAGAAAAAGAGAUGGGGAAAGACGAACAAUAGAAUAAUACUAAUGAGAAUAAACAAAAACUAGGAAAGAACUCACCGGCUAGGCUCGAACUUGGAAUUGACACUCUCAAUCAACCCAAAAUAAUACCAAACGUUUGUUCUUGGUGGACAACAACGAGCGUCAUUAUUUUGUGAUGAAACAGGCUUGAAUAAGCCAAGAAAUCCAGCAAAAUGACCUUUCAUGCACUGGUCAGAAUUUAGGGUUCUAGGGCUCGAACUCAGAUUUGAUAGUCGAAAAGUUCUGGAUACAUUCGAGGGAAACUAAUGAUGGGUUUGGUAUGAGGGAGUCCUGGGGGUUAUAUGGUUUUGAUUUGGGGUUGAUUGGGUAGGCUAGGGUUCGGGGUCCGAUCUUUGAUCCAAGAUUCAAAGAGUUAUGGGGUAAUUCGAGGAGAAGGGAGUGUGGAUUUGGCAUGAAGGGAGUGAGGGGGUUCUAUGGUGUAAUUUUGGACGUGAUUGAGCCACCAAAACCACCGUGAGGCGAUUUUCGGUGGGCGGAAGGCAGCGGAGUGAGGCGGUGAGAUGGGGUGUCUCUGAAGAUAGGUGAGAGAUGAAUGAGUGGGGGGAUUCUG
This 2027-nucleotide long non-coding RNA is filed under the name Nicotiana tabacum (common tobacco). RNAcentral's name for it is "long non-coding RNA (NTAB_LNC009906)". Lineage: Eukaryota; Viridiplantae; Streptophyta; Magnoliopsida; Solanales; Solanaceae. The record is from RNAcentral.